This 46-nucleotide non-coding RNA is filed under the name Trichobilharzia regenti. Lineage: Eukaryota; Metazoa; Platyhelminthes; Trematoda; Strigeidida; Schistosomatidae. The record is from RNAcentral.
GUACUGAUGGGGAGUCCAAAACUAGGACGAAACAGCUGUCCAGUAC